GAUGAACGCAGCGGCAGGCUUAAUACAUGCAAGUCGAGGGGCAGCACGGUUAGCAAUAACUGGUGGCGACCGGCGCACGGGUGCGUAACACGUAUACAAUCUACCUUAAACAGGGGGAUAGCCUUUCGAAAGAGAGAUUAAUACCCCGUAAUAAAUUGAACGGCAUCGUUUGAUUUUGAAAGCUCCGGCGGUUUGAGAUGAGUAUGCGUCUGAUUAGCUAGUUGGUGAGGUAACGGCUCACCAAGGCGACGAUCAGUAGGGGAUCUGAGAGGACUAACCCCCACACUGGUACUGAGACACGGACCAGACUCCUACGGGAGGCAGCAGUAAGGAAUAUUGGUCAAUGGAGGCAACUCUGAACCAGCCAUGCCGCGUGCAGGAUGACGGCCCUAUGGGUUGUAAACUGCUUUUAUACAAGAGAAAACCCUGGUACGUGUACCAGGUUGAUAGUAUUGUAAGAAUAAGCAUCGGCUAACUUCGUGCCAGCAGCCGCGGUAA
RNAcentral lists this ribosomal RNA (498 nucleotides) under uncultured bacterium. RNAcentral's name for it is "bacterial SSU rRNA". It matches the Rfam family "Bacterial small subunit ribosomal RNA", at positions 28 to 523 of the family's 1533-position model. The record is from RNAcentral.